UAGUCAUAUGUGUAUAAUAACAGUAGAAGUAUGACUAAUGACUAAUGAUGGCAGCAGCAGCAGCAGCAGGAGGCAUCUGGCAGGACCACGGCAGCAGCACAACCACACACGUCACGCUGUCCAGGCACCGCUGUGAUAUGAGUUAAUCUGAGAGACAGUGGAGCACAAAGGCUCCGGAGAAGAAGCCGAGUUAGUGACAUCCAGAAUGGCCGAGUUAGCAAGAUGCAGUAAUAGAAUACGAGAGAGAGAGAGAGAGAGAGAGAGAGAGAGAGAGAAGGAGAGAAGGUGCCCGGUGUAUUAUAGGGGGGUCCUCCGGCAGACUAGGCCUAAGUCAGCCUAACUAGGGGCUGGUACAGGGCAAGCCUGAGCCAGCCCUAACUAUAAGCUUUAUCAAAGAGGAAAGUCUUAAGUCUAGUCUUAAAUGUGGAGACGGUGUCUGCCUCCCGGACCGUAACAGGAAGAUGAUUCCACAGGAGAGGAGCCUGAUAGCUGAAGGCUCUGGCUCCUGAUCUACUUUUGGAGACUUUAGGGACCACGAGUAACCCUGCGUUCUCAGAGCGCAGUGUUCUGGUGGGAUAAUAUGGCACUAUGAGCUCUCUAAGAUAUGAUGGAGCUUGACCAUUUAGAGCUUUAUAAGUUAACAGUAGGAUUUUAAAUUCAAUUCUGGAUUUUACAGGGAGCCAGUGCAGAGAAGCUAAAACAGGAGAGAUAUGAUCUCGUUUCUUAGUUCCUGUUAGUACACGUGCUGCUGCAUUCUGAAUUAGCUGGAGAGUUUUUAAGGACUUACUAGAGCUACCUGAUAAUAGAGAGUUACAAUAAUCCAGCCUUGAGGUAACAAAAGCGUGGACCAAUUUUUGUGCAUCUUUUCGGGUCAGGAUAGGCCUAAUUUUCGCAAUAUUACGCAGAUGAAAAAAUGCAGUCCGUGAGGUUUGUUUUAAAUGAGAAUUAAAAGACAAAUCUUGAUCAAAUAUCACUCCGAGGUUUCUUACGGUAGUGCUAGAGGCCAGAGCAAUGCCAUCUAGAGAAACUAUG
Long non-coding RNA from Epinephelus fuscoguttatus (brown-marbled grouper), 1032 nucleotides. RefSeq lists it as uncharacterized. Lineage: Eukaryota; Metazoa; Chordata; Actinopteri; Perciformes; Serranidae. The record is from RefSeq and is a predicted model, not a curated record. The transcript has 3 exons.